RNAcentral lists this transfer RNA (76 nucleotides) under Sophora flavescens. RNAcentral's name for it is "tRNA-Met". It matches the Rfam family "tRNA". From Rfam's summary of the family: Transfer RNA (tRNA) molecules are approximately 80 nucleotides in length. Their secondary structure includes four short double-helical elements and three loops (D, anti-codon, and T loops). Lineage: Eukaryota; Viridiplantae; Streptophyta; Magnoliopsida; Fabales; Fabaceae. The record is from RNAcentral.
AUGCGGAGUAGAGGAAUUGGUCAACUCAUCAGGCUCAUGACCUGAAGAAUGCAGGUUCGAAUCCUGUCUCCGCCUA